This 20-nucleotide non-coding RNA is filed under the name Rattus norvegicus (Norway rat). The record is from RNAcentral. Lineage: Eukaryota; Metazoa; Chordata; Mammalia; Rodentia; Muridae.
CAUGGGUGCCAUUUCUCUGU